RNAcentral lists this ribosomal RNA (580 nucleotides) under uncultured Glomus. Its description in RNAcentral is "eukaryotic LSU rRNA". It matches the Rfam family "Eukaryotic large subunit ribosomal RNA", at positions 204 to 636 of the family's 3401-position model. Lineage: Eukaryota; Fungi; Glomeromycota; Glomeromycetes; Glomerales; Glomeraceae. The record is from RNAcentral.
CAUGGAGGGUGAGAAUCCCGUCCGGUUGAUCAUUUGCGUUUUACGAUACGCUUUCUAAGAGUCAAGUUGUUUGGGAUUGCAGCUUAAAAUGGGAGGUAAAUUUCUCCUAAGGCUAAAUAACGGCGAGAGACCGAUAGCGAACAAGUACCGUGAGGGAAAGAUGAAAAGAACUUUGAAAAGAGAGUUAAACAGUACGUGAAAUUGUUGAAAGGGAAACGAUUGAAGCCAGUCGUACCUUCGGGUAAUCAGCCUUUCGGGUGCGAUUCUGUGGAGUGUGAGGAGCUUAACACCUUCAUGCUUUGCAUAUUUGUGCUCUUGGGUGUACUUGCCCGUGUGGUUGGUUAACAUCAAUUUUGGUUAUCAUAAAAUGAUUGGAGGAAUGUAGCUUCGAUCUCGUAUUGAAGUGUUAUAGCCUUCGGUAGAUGUGAUGGUCGAGAUUGAGGAUUGCAACGGAUACCCUUCGGGGCUACCUGUCUGGUCUCUGAUCGUUGCUCUGGUGCCGAAAGCUUGCUUACGGUUAUCAAAGUCGAUGGUCAAUAGGUUAGAACGGGUUAAAUUCGUUAAGGAUGUUGACGUAAUG